ACAGAGGGUGCAAGCGUUAAUCGGAAUUACUGGGCGUAAAGCGCGCGUAGGUGGUUUGUUAAGUUGGAUGUGAAAACCCCGGGCUCAACCUGGGAACUGCAUUCAAAACUGACAAGCUAGAGUAUGGUAGAGGGUGGUGGAAUUUCCUGUGUAGCGGCGAAAGGCGUAGAUAUAGGAAGGAGCACCAGAGGCGAAGGCGACCACCUGGACUGAUACUGACACUGAGGUGCGAAAGCGUGGGGAGAAAAGAG
This 251-nucleotide ribosomal RNA is filed under the name uncultured prokaryote. RNAcentral's name for it is "partial 16S rRNA". It matches the Rfam family "Bacterial small subunit ribosomal RNA", at positions 525 to 775 of the family's 1533-position model. The record is from RNAcentral.